GAUACUUCCUGAGCUCCCCUGAAGCAUUGACCUAGGAGCAAUCCAGAAUCAGCUUGAUGUACUAAGUCCUAGGAUUGUUAGAACAUUGUGGACUUUCUGCUUCUGCCAUGACCUGAAGACUUUCAUGCCUGAGUCUCCCUGACAACAUUGCAGACUAAAGGCUGGUGGCUUCUUCAAUUAGUCCUUGUAUGGUCCUCCCGCCAUCUUAGCAUGUCUGGGCGUGUAUAUGCCAACUGUAGGAGCCUGAAAGAUUUAGCAUCUCUCACUAAAUAGAGACGUACUCUACAGGCGUUUAAAAAGUCGAAUCGUGUGUUUCUUGAGGCCAGAGACUGUGUUUCGGGCAACAUCCUCUCUACAGAGCUAUCAAGCCAGGGGAGUGGGAGAGAGUGGUCAAGUCCUGCUGCUGAUUUAAAGAGAAAGAAAAGAAGUAUGAAAUAAGUCAUGAGACAACAGCAGGUGGAGAAGGUGAUGUGGACAAAGUCAAGGCUUUGAAGACUGAGAGGGGAAUGAAAAUGUCUCAGCUAGAAGAAACAUAGACUCAAGUACUCAAGGUGAGAGAGGAGAGUCAGGAAGGUGAAAUGGAGAUGGAAGGCCGCUUCUUACCAUAGCCUGACACUCAGUUCACAUCACUUGAUCCAUGAGUGAUAAACCAGCUAUGUUAAGAAGCACCUGGAGUUCCCUUCCAGUCUCAGGAGAACAGACAGAAAAGCACCAGUUAUAUGAGUUUUAAUUUGCACUGGAUCCCAUGCCCAUGCCUCCAUGGUGGAAGGAAGCAGCUAUUAUCCAGGUCCAGAGAUGAAAAACGCCUGCUGAUGCGCAAUUAGAAGGUCAAUCCAUUGUGUUAGUACAUAGAGAUGGGACAGAUCCUUUGAGACACAACGAAUUGGUCACAGAAUCGAAUAGGAAGAAGAGAACAGCCUGACACUCAAGGGACAUCCAAGGACACCAUGAUGCAAACAAACAACACAGGAAAUACUAAAUAAUUUUACUUUC
Molecule: long non-coding RNA, 993 nt
Organism: Vombatus ursinus (common wombat)
Lineage: Eukaryota; Metazoa; Chordata; Mammalia; Diprotodontia; Vombatidae
Exons: 3
Source: RefSeq, a predicted model, not a curated record